This 45-nucleotide non-coding RNA is filed under the name Schistosoma mattheei. The record is from RNAcentral. Lineage: Eukaryota; Metazoa; Platyhelminthes; Trematoda; Strigeidida; Schistosomatidae.
ACUCAGUUGAGGAGUCCGAAAUAGGACGAAACGCGCGUCCCGGAU